CUAUUUUCACUCCCUCUUUUCUUUUUCUUUCCCUAUCUCAAAUCCUUUUAAUUUGUAGGGGCCUUAACCCUGAAAUAACCGCAUGCUGCAGCCAACCCUUUCCCAUGGCUGGAAGACACCUAAGCGCCUUGGGAGCGCGGAUCCCACAAUUCCAGCUUCUGGGGCUUUAGGUCUGGGAAGGUUCGGUUGAGGAUUGAAGUGAGUGGGGAGGUUGUGAUUCGGGGGCUUUAAAGGAAUCCCGUGGCCAGGGGCAGGGCUAAGGCCCAGCAUUUCCCAGGGAUUGGAAUUUGGUGCGGAGCACACUGAUCAAAGGCUGUUUCAUCCCACAUGGGCAUGAAACACACCACAUUUGACCGAGAAUGUAGCCUGAGAGAAGAGGGAGGUGGAAGAGAAGCAUAAAUGAAAAGCACCUUUUCUCUCAGUAAGGUAAAUCAUAAAAUGUAAACAUUUCUUCACUUUGACAAACUCAAAUUAUUUCAAUACCAAACUCUGACACAUUUGGUAUUGAAGAAAAAGUGGUGCCUAGGUAUGAUGUUAAAGUUCAGUUCUAGUAUAAAGAAUGCAAAUAAUGAAUAUUCAGGGAGUAUUAACAUGGAGUUAUUUCAUUCUCCCCACUGCACCCCACUUUGACAUUCAGAGAGAGGAUAAACACGGAAUAGACAGAAAAUUCUAGUGAUAUAUAUAUAAAGGAGCUUUGAACAUUGGACUAAUCUCAACUAUUCUUUCACUGUAUGUAUUACCACCACCACCCCCUUUUUCAACAUAAUUCCUUACUUUAAAACAAACUAUUUACGUUUGGGAAAUUCAUGGGUUCCAGCUAUCAUCAUUGAUGGUGACAUGGCUCCAAACUUUGACUUCUAAGCUAGGGAUUUCUUACAGAGCCUGGUGAGCUAAUGGGUUUUGCGACCAGGCUGGUGAGAUCUGUGGGCCUUCCUCUCUGCUCACUUUUCCUCCUCCCACUCUUCUCCCCUCCCCAGGCCUGUUAUUUCUACUUUUCCUCAUCUCGCCUUCUUUCCUCCUCCCCUCUUCCCCCCUUCUCCCUCCUCUCUCUCCCCACCCCUCUUCUCCCUCUAUUCCUCUCCCUCGCUCCAUUCCUCCACCUACUCCUCCCCAUUUCUCCCCCCCACAGCCCCCCUUCUCAGCACCACUUAUAAUGGCACACAAGGGCUCCCUCUGAGGUGGACGGCCCGGUACGUUUUCGUAGUCGGUCUAGCGUGAAAUGAUUCGGUGUAACCGGAUUCUUGGGAAAGGACAGGUUACGUAAACAUUUACUGAUGUGGAGUAACUAUACUAUUUGUACUCUGAUAUGCAGGAAGGAAAGUGUUGAUUAACACAGAAGAAAAAAAAAGCGAAAUUAGCUGAUUGCAUGCUCAUAAGUGCAAGCUGUCAUUGAACUGCUUUUAAAAUAGACACAGCUGGGUGUUUGUGUUGAAAAAUUUCUUGUGUUUUUGCUAAUACUGAAAUAAGCAUGAUUUUGUAUACCAAACAUUUUCAGAUCAUUAAAAUUUGUAAUCUGUGCUGGUUUUAAACACAAAGAAAAGAAACAGAAUCAUUUCGAUGUAAAAUUUGCUGAUAUUAUAUUAACUCAAUCAGGUCUGUACAAAUUGUGCAUUGUGCCUCCUAAAAUCUGUUUGAUCAAUUUAAUACACAAAGUGCCAAACGUGGGUAUUGUUUGUUAACAUUGGACAUUUUAUUCAAAUCCAAGCUCAGCAGCAAACUGGAGGAGCAUUCCUUGAAUACAACACCAGCACUGACUGAUGAAUUUUUAAUGUUUUAAGGUGUUUCUUAGGUCAAAGCUGAGUGUUCAUUGUUUAGUAAUCCUGCAUAAAAUUUUAGCAGGUGAAAUAAGUUUGUCUUCUGUUUACUUUCAAAUAGCAAAAACUAGGGUCUACUAAUGAGAGCUCAUUUUAUAGGCUAGGGGCUUAUAUUGACUGGGAAAAUGUUUUGCAUGCAAAUUAAAAAUGUGUUAUAUUAUUUUAAGGAUUUCAUGGAUGCAAGUCUUAAAAUAGGGUAUUUGUGUAGGAAUAAAUAAAUUAUAGAUUAAUAUUAUCAUAUUAAAGAUCUCCCUAAUGACAAAGGUUACUUGCAAUUUUGGGGAAGUGAAUUCAAAUUCCUUUUAUUAAUUUUAAUUAGGUUUUAUGGUGAGAUAGAGUGACGUAUAUGUGUAUACACACACAUAUAUGGACUUGUUCAACAAAACAUGCACUGUUUACUCAGCAGCCCACAUUUGUCUCAGCAAUGGCUUCUUUUUAGAAAAGCUACUAGAUGAAAUGAAAUGGAGGGGGAGGGGGUCUUGGACAGAGUAUUGUGCAAGUUGAAAGUCUCUGGAUGGAGCUUUGUAUAUCCUACUGGCCAAUUUGGGUGCAAAUUGGAUUUGAAGGACUGCCCACAUCUACCUCAGGCCUGUCUCCUAAACACGUGAAGCCCUAACUCUGUAUUUCCAUUUCAUUCAGUCUCUGUAAUUACCUUUAGAAGAAAGAGGGCAUCCAGUGGUCUCAAAUCUGAAAAAAAUUCUCUAUCAUUUUAAUAUUUUCUCAUCAGCAGCUUAAUCUUGAUCUCAUAGAUCUAUAAAUGUAACUGUUGACAAAUCAAAGCUUAAGUCAGAGCAAAUAUAAUUUUCUGGCACAUAGUUGUAAACUUCUCAUCUGCCUUCCUCUGCAUCCCCCCCCACCUCCCUAGAAGACAAGCCUUGUAAAGAGUGAGUGGUUGUAACUAAGAAUUGCUUAGGAAAUAAAUUACAUUAUUCUGUCUCUAUUUCAAUUAAUAGUCAAGACUUCACAGCCAAUUUCAGGGAGGAGCAUGUUUAGUUUUUCUAUUUCUGAUGUUACAUUUAGUCUACCUUUUUGUCUGUGCCUUCUUUUUUUCCCUUAUUACCUGCUGGUUAAAGGAGGGCAAGCCAUUUUUGCCUAAAAUGCACCCUGCUCUUGGCACCCUGGAUAGGAUGUCCUUGGAGCAGUGCCCAGCACCAAACUCUGGAUAAAGCUCUCUUCCUGCAGAUGCAUGGGGAGUCCCUGACCCUGUGACAUUUGGGAGCAGGAGGAACCCAUGCAGAGGCAUCCAGGUAUGUCCAGGGAUCCUGUGACAAGCGAGGUCUGCCCUCAUUCAAGCCAACUCAUCCCUAAUCCCUUCCUAACAGCAGGUAAUGGUGCUAACAUUUAGUGAUUAUAAGUUACUCUUUAGCGUGUUGUAUCCCUGUUCUGUGGGUUUUGGUUACAGGUUAUACGAUUAGGCUUGCGAGAACAGUAGUGAACUAAACUUCUCAGUAAGAGGUCUUCACACCAGGGAAGUGUUACUUUUCUGCAGCAGCACUGCCUCGUCACUCAUUAGGGAGCUGCAGGUUGUCAAGCUGCUGCUCUUAGUGUGCGCGCAUCCUCAACAUCCCUGGGGGCAAGCCCAUGUGCACCCGGGCACGCGCACGCAUGCACACACACACACACACACAUGCACACACACACACUGCACUAAAACUAAAUUAAGAAGCCGAUGAUUAAGACAAGCGUCUACUAGGCCUGUCAUUUCAGCAUCCUUCCAUCAUAACAUUGUGGCACCGGCAAUUUUGCUUGAGAACCUUGAGAAAAAAAAUCCAUGGGAGAGCCUCGUAUUUGAGAGUCGAAAUGUUUAACUUGUAUAAGCUAGGGAACAUUUUCGAAGUGAUAAAGUCCAAAGUUAAAAAAAAGAAGAAGAGGAAGGAAAAGAAAGCCUGGAUAGAGACCCUGGGACUGUGACCCUACCAGAGGUUCCAAGCUCUCUGAAGAUAAGAACAUACUCAUCCAAAGAAAUCCUGCUGAGAGCUGCAACCAAAUACAUUUGGGAGAAUCUUCUUCCCAAUAUAAUCCCACAGAAAGCCAGGUGUGGAGAAAUUCAUGAGGAAAUAUUACCAUUCCAGGGUGGAAGGAUCUUUAAAAUAUCUCACCAAACAACCUCUCAAAUACUCUGUACAUCUCUUGCAAAUAUAAAAUGCCCACUAGCCAUUUACUUGUUUCCUGUUAUUUGCCAGCAUGCUUGGUACCUCUGAGGAUGGACAGUUUGCAGAGGGAGUUGAGUCCUUAGUGUGAGGGGAGGCCUGUUUCAUUUUUUGUCCUGAUUCAAUUGUCCUACACUCUUCUGGCAACCGGGCCAAAAGGCCAAUUCUUUUUUCUUCUAGUUGCCCUAGGAAAUGGCGAAGCCCAUCCUUUAGAGGGGUCAGGAAAUGCUGAAGAGAAAGACAAAGACUUGGAAGGGUGAUGGUAAAUGGGAAUGACGGAGGCUAGUGCUCAGGUCUUUAGCUUUAACCCUUGAGUCUAUCUAAAAAGGGAGGAAGUGAGAGUUGGCAAAAGUCAGUACAGAAGAUAAUUCUACAUUGGAAUUUCCAUCGGGGGACAUGGAAGGUGGGAAAAAAAUGACUUCUUAAAUAUAUAUCAGCCUGAAAGAAAAACUUACAGGCCUCAAAAUGCAGAGCUCCUACCUAACCCAUUGCUGUUCUCUUUAAUUAGUUGGAGCUUCAAUUUAAUUUCCUAUAGAACCCUGAAUAAUCUACUUUGGAAAAUGUUAACAUCACUAUCCAGAGAAUUUGGGAUAUCAAGUGUCCUCUAUUCUGAAGCACCUUCUAAAAGGUCCCCCAAACUCAAGUCUUGUGAGGAAAAAUGAAACGAUGCGGCUGAGCUGCAAUUAUUAAGGCAGUCAGCACUCAAUAGUCACCCUCUCAAUAGUUAAAAGUAUGCGAAGAGCACUGAAUAGCCCAAAGACCAUAUAGAAGAUUGAUGAGUAUGUUUCAGACAAUGCUCUUGUCCACUGAUGGUCUGUGGAGGAAUGAUAAGAGAAAAAACUGCCCGCGUUGGGGUGAGCAGGCCAGGAGGCAUGCAGAGAUCCCCUCCAUCCCAAAGUCCCCUUUCGCAGAGGAAAGUCAUAUGAAAGAAAACUAUUUACUAAUGAAACACAUCUGCUUCCUUUCUAAAAACCCAGGUGGACAAACUAAUGAGUCUGUUUUUACUUCGCGUCUAUCUCAUACCCACCUGCCUUUUCACUCUCGAACUGCCGUUCCGUAGGUCUUCCCCACCCCCUCCAACUCGAAGCAGAGGAAAAGGCGUUGGAGCAACAUUUCGCAGAAGGUCCUGAUCUUCUCCCUCCCUUGCUAACCCCCGGAGGCUGUAGCUGCGACGGUUACCGGCGAGGAGCGUCUAGGAAUCCUGGCUCCAGGGCCUGCGUGCCGCUCCUCCCCACUCGCACCCGCGCACUUGCCCUGCGCUCCUUUGUCGCCCGCGCCUGCCAAGCGCAAUCCUGCCAGAAGACUUGCUUUUAGGUUUCAUUUCCUGAUUUACCCCCUUAGUUAUCUUUUCAGCCCAGAUACCUUGUGUUUGCACAUCACGCCGGAAGCACGCAUACAGAUCAAUAUUUUUGGGCUAAGAGGUCAUCUGCCACAGUGAACGCGGAAAAAAAUUGAGCCUAGUAAAAGGCUUUAAACUUAUUUAUAUAAAGCACAACUCAGAGUUAAAAGACUGGGGUGCGUGCAGAUGAAGUUAAUUCGAAUAUUCAAUUACAUGUAAGGAGUGUGGGAUCUAGUGGGGGAGAGCAGUUAUAUGCCUAUUUCCCUCCUGCCCUAGGGAAGGAGCGGAAGGCUGAGAGGAAAGGAGCGGCCAGGGUAAAAGCUAGAUGCAGGAUGGCGUCAGGAACAAGUUACCGUUAUGAUGUGCAAACAGAACAACCCGACUCUUCCAUUUCAGAAUCUACAACAAAGGAGGGACCAUCUUUGCAAAAAGACUGUACUCAAAACAUGUUUGUUAAUGAUCUUGGGAUCCAAGAUUUGCGAAGAUGAGGAAUUGAUACACAGAGAAGUUUAGUAACUACCCCUUGGAUAUAACUGUAUCACUCGACACUGCAGCUGCUCUAGAAUUGGAAAGAAACAGUUUUGCUGGGCUCUUAAAAACUGUGAGUAUUGGCUAGGGUGAAAGCACACCUUUUAUAUUUGUAGUAUAACUAUUUAAGCAAUGAAUGAUGAAAACCUACAUAAUUUCAUCUAGUCAUUACCUGAGGUAGACAACAGAUUUUAUGUCUUCUAUGUUUCAGUAUCAAAACUGGUGACUAGAUGUCUUGCUCAGUAUCACAAGGUAGAAUCUGUACCUUGUCACUCUGCAGUUUUCAGAUGACUUAAGUAUAAAGUAAUAUUGGUAGUCAUCAAGAUGGUGGAGUAGGAAGACUCUGAGCUUACUUUCUCCUACAGGUAUCCCCAAAUUACAAACUAUUUACAGAGCAGCAGUCUCUGGGAAUAACCUAAGACUAGCAGAAAAGAUUUUCUACAAUUAAACAUAUGAAGGAGCCACAACAGGAGGGUAGAAAGGGGAGAGAUACAAUUUAGUCAGGACCACAUUUCCAGUGUGGUGACUCACAUACCCAGUGUGAGGACUUACAAGUAGAAGGGAUGUCAUAACUGCAAAGUCCCUGUCCAAGGAGUGAGGGGCCCAAGCCCCACAUUGCACUCCUCAGACUGUGGGACCUGUACCAGGAAGCAUAGCCUCCUAAAUAUGUGACUUUUUCCACAGAACAGCUAAUUUCAAUAUGAAACCACAAAAGCCACUGAAUAGCCAAGGCAAUCUUAAGAAAAAAGAAAGCUGAAUGAAUCAUGCUCCUUGAUUUAAAAUUGCACUACAAAACUCUAGCAAUCAAAACUAUAUGACACUGGUAUAAAAACAGGCAUUUAGAUCAAAGAAAGAGGAGAGUCCAAAAAUAAACCCAUGUUAAUUUAUGACAAAGGAGACAAGAAUAUACAAUGGAGAAAAGGCAGCCUCUUCAAUAAAUGGUAGUAUGGAAACUGGACAGCUAUAUGCAAAAGAGUGAAACUGGAUCACUUUCUUAUACCAUAUAAAAAUAAAGUCAAAAUGUAUUAAAGACUUAAAUGUAAAUGUAAUGCCUGAAGCCAUAUAACACCUAAAAGAAAACAUAGACAUUAAGUUCUUUGACAUUAGUCUUAGCAACAUUUUUUUUGGAUGUGUCUCCCCAGGCCUGGGAAGCAAAAGUAAAAAUGUACAA
Molecule: non-coding RNA, 7002 nt
Organism: Sus scrofa (pig)
Lineage: Eukaryota; Metazoa; Chordata; Mammalia; Artiodactyla; Suidae
Source: RefSeq, a predicted model, not a curated record